GGUUAAGCGACUAAGCGUACACGGUGGAUGCCUAGGCAGUCAGAGGCGAUGAAGGGCGUGCUAAUCUGCGAAAAGCGUCGGUAAGGUGAUAUGAACCGUUAUAACCGACGAUACCCGAAUGGGGAAACCCAGUGCAAUUCGUUGCACUAUUGCAUGGUGAAUACAUAGCCAUGCAAGGCGAACCGGGAGAACUGAAACAUCUAAGUACCCCGAGGAAAAGAAAUCAACCGAGAUUCCCCCAGUAGCGGCGAGCGAACGGGGAGGAGCCCAGAACCUGAAUCAGCGUAUGUGUUAGUGGAAGCGUCUGGAAAGUCGCACGGUACAGGGUGAUAGUCCCGUACACAAAAAUGCAUAUGUUGUGAGUUCGAUGAGUAGGGCGGGACACGUGACAUCCUGUCUGAAUAUGGGGGGACCAUCCUCCAAGGCUAAAUACUCCUGACUGACCGAUAGUGAACCAGUACCGUGAGGGAAAGGCGAAAAGAACCCCGGCGAGGGGAGUGAAACAGAACCUGAAACCGUGUACGUACAAGCAGUGGGAGCACCUUCGUGGUGUGACUGCGUACCUUUUGUAUAAUGGGUCAGCGACUUAUAUUUUGUAGCAAGGUUAACCGAAUAGGGGAGCCGUAGGGAAACCGAGUCUUAACUGGGCGAAUAGUUGCAAGGUAUAGACCCGAAACCCGGUGAUCUAGCCAUGGGCAGGUUGAAGGUUGGGUAACACUAACUGGAGGACCGAACCGACUAAUGUUGAAAAAUUAGCGGAUGACUUGUGGCUGGGGGUGAAAGGCCAAUCAAACCGGGAGAUAGCUGGUUCUCCCCGAAAGCUAUUUAGGUAGCGCCUCGUGAACUCAUCUUCGGGGGUAGAGCACUGUUUCGGCUAGGGGGUCAUCCCGACUUACCAAACCGAUGCAAACUCCGAAUACCGAAGAAUGUUAUCACGGGAGACACACGGCGGGUGCUAACGUCCGUCGUGAAGAGGGAAACAACCCAGACCGCCAGCUAAGGUCCCAAAGUCAUGGUUAAGUGGGAAACGAUGUGGGAAGGCACAGACAGCCAGGAUGUUGGCUUAGAAGCAGCCAUCAUUUAAAGAAAGCGUAAUAGCUCACUGGUCGAGUCGGCCUGCGCGGAAGAUGUAACGGGGCUAAACCAUGCACCGAAGCUGCGGCAGCGAACGUAUCACUUAAAACGCUUAACGUGACGGCAAAGCCGGCAUGUUCAAGCCACACUAAACGUUGAGUUGGCCGAUGUGCUGACAAACGAACAGGCGUUUUAAGGAUACGUUCGUUGGGUAGGGGAGCGUUCUGUAAGCCGUUGAAGGUGGCCUGUGAGGGUUGCUGGAGGUAUCAGAAGUGCGAAUGCUGACAUAAGUAACGAUAAUGCGGGUGAAAAACCCGCACGCCGGAAGACCAAGGGUUCCUGUCCAACGUUAAUCGGGGCAGGGUGAGUCGACCCCUAAGGCGAGGCUGAAAAGCGUAGUCGAUGGGAAACAGGUUAAUAUUCCUGUACUUGGUGUUACUGCGAAGGGGGGACGGAGAAGGCUAGGCUAGCCGGGCGACGGUUGUCCCGGUUUAAGCAUGUAGGCGGAGUGACCAGGUAAAUCCGGUUGCUUAUCAACGCUGAGGUGUGAUGACGAGUCACUACGGUGAUGAAGUAGUUGAUGCCAUGCUUCCAGGAAAAGCCUCUAAGCAUCAGGUAACAUGAAAUCGUACCCCAAACCGACACAGGUGGUCAGGUAGAGAAUACUCAGGCGCUUGAGAGAACUCGGGUGAAGGAACUAGGCAAAAUGGUGCCGUAACUUCGGGAGAAGGCACGCUGGCAUUAGGUAAAGGGACUUGCUCCCGGCGCCGAAGCCAGUCGCAGAUACCAGCUGGCUGCAACUGUUUAAUAAAAACACAGCACUGUGCAAACACGAAAGUGGACGUAUACGGUGUGACGCCUGCCCGGUGCUGGAAGGUUAAUUGAUGGGGUCAGCCGCAAGGCGAAGCUCUUGAUCGAAGCCCCAGUAAACGGCGGCCGUAACUAUAACGGUCCUAAGGUAGCGAAAUUCCUUGUCGGGUAAGUUCCGACCUGCACGAAUGGCGUAAUGAUGGCCAGGCUGUCUCCACCCGAGACUCAGUGAAAUUGAACUCGCUGUGAAGAUGCAGUGUACCCGCGGCAAGACGGAAAGACCCCGUGAACCUUUACUAUAGCUUGACACUGAACAUUGAGCCUUGAUGUGUAGGAUAGGUGGGAGGCAUAGAAGUGUGGACGCCAGUCUGCAUGGAGCCAACCUUGAAAUACCACCCUUUAAUGUUUGAUGUUCUAACUCGGCCCCGUAAUCCGGGGUGAGGACAGUGUCUGGUGGGUAGUUUGACUGGGGCGGUCUCCUCCCAAAGAGUAACGGAGGAGCACGAAGGUUAGCUAAUCACGGUCGGACAUCGUGAGGUUAGUGCAAAGGCAUAAGCUAGCUUGACUGCGAGAGUGACGGCUCGAGCAGGUACGAAAGUAGGUCUUAGUGAUCCGGUGGUUCUGAAUGGAAGGGCCAUCGCUCAACGGAUAAAAGGUACUCCGGGGAUAACAGGCUGAUACCGCCCAAGAGUUCAUAUCGACGGCGGUGUUUGGCACCUCGAUGUCGGCUCAUCACAUCCUGGGGCUGAAGUAGGUCCCAAGGGUAUGGCUGUUCGCCAUUUAAAGUGGUACGCGAGCUGGGUUUAGAACGUCGUGAGACAGUUCGGUCCCUAUCUGCCGUGGGCGUUGGAAGAUUGAGAGGGGCUGCUCCUAGUACGAGAGGACCGGAGUGGACGAAUCACUGGUGUUCGGGUUGUCAUGCCAAUGGCAUUGCCCGGUAGCUAAAUUCGGAAGAGAUAACCGCUGAAAGCAUCUAAGCGGGAAACUUGCCUCGAGAUGAGUCUUCCCUGGGGCUUUAAGCCCCCUGAAGGAACGUUAAAGACGAUGACGUUGAUAGGCUGGGUGUGUAAGUGCAGCGAUGCAUUGAGCUAACCAGUACUAAUGAACCGUGAGGCUUAACCUU
RNAcentral lists this ribosomal RNA (3007 nucleotides) under Yersinia enterocolitica. RNAcentral describes it as "23S ribosomal RNA". It matches the Rfam family "Bacterial large subunit ribosomal RNA". The record is from RNAcentral. Lineage: Bacteria; Pseudomonadati; Pseudomonadota; Gammaproteobacteria; Enterobacterales; Yersiniaceae.